RNAcentral lists this ribosomal RNA (383 nucleotides) under uncultured eukaryote. RNAcentral's name for it is "SSU rRNA". It matches the Rfam family "Eukaryotic small subunit ribosomal RNA", at positions 587 to 972 of the family's 1831-position model. The record is from RNAcentral.
AGCUCCAAUAGCGUAUAUUAAUGUUGUUGCAGUUAAAAAGCUCGUAGUUGGAUUUCUGUUUAGUGCGGCCGGCCCGCCCCUCACGGGGUGUGCGCUGCGCUGUCACUGAUCAUCCUUGCGGAGAGCGGCUCGCGCAUUAAGUUGUGCGGGUCGGGAUCCGCAUCGUUUACUGUGAAAAAUUAGAGUGUUUAAAGCAGGCGUAAGCUGUGAAUACAUUAGCAUGGAAUAAUAAGAUAGGACUUUGGUGCUAUUUUGUUGGUUUGUACACCGAGGUAAUGAUUAAUAGGGACAGUUGGGGGUAUUAGUAUUCAGUUGUCAGAGGUGAAAUUCUUGGAUUUACGGAAGACUAACUACUGCGAAAGCAUUUACCAAGGAUGUUUUCA